UGGCGAACGGGUGAGUAACACGUGGGCAAUCUGCCCUGCACUCUGGGACAAGCCCUGGAAACGGGGUCUAAUACCGGAUACUGAUCCUCGCAGGCAUCUGCGAGGUUCGAAAGCUCCGGCGGUGCAGGAUGAGCCCGCGGCCUAUCAGCUUGUUGGUGAGGUAACGGCUCACCAAGGCGACGACGGGUAGCCGGCCUGAGAGGGCGACCGGCCACACUGGGACUGAGACACGGCCCAGACUCCUACGGGAGGCAGCAGUGGGGAAUAUUGCACAAUGGGCGAAAGCCUGAUGCAGCGACGCCGCGUGAGGGAUGACGGCCUUCGGGUUGUAAACCUCUUUCAGCAGGGAAGAAGCGAAAGUGACGGUACCUGCAGAAGAAGCGCCGGCUAACUACGUGCCAGCAGCCGCGGUAAUACGUAGGGCGCAAGCGUUGUCCGGAAUUAUUGGGCGUAAAGAGCUCGUAGGCGGCUUGUCACGUCGGUUGUGAAAGCCCGGGGCUUAACCCCGGGUCUGCAGUCGAUACGGGCAGGCUAGAGUUCGGUAGGGGAGAUCGGAAUUCCUGGUGUAGCGGUGAAAUGCGC
RNAcentral lists this ribosomal RNA (582 nucleotides) under Streptomyces geysiriensis. Its description in RNAcentral is "bacterial SSU rRNA". It matches the Rfam family "Bacterial small subunit ribosomal RNA", at positions 96 to 691 of the family's 1533-position model. Lineage: Bacteria; Bacillati; Actinomycetota; Actinomycetes; Kitasatosporales; Streptomycetaceae. The record is from RNAcentral.